This 246-nucleotide ribosomal RNA is filed under the name Trichoderma spirale. Its description in RNAcentral is "partial large subunit ribosomal RNA". It matches the Rfam family "Eukaryotic large subunit ribosomal RNA", at positions 398 to 664 of the family's 3401-position model. The record is from RNAcentral. Lineage: Eukaryota; Fungi; Ascomycota; Sordariomycetes; Hypocreales; Hypocreaceae.
CGUGAAAUUGUUGAAAGGGAAGCGCUUGUGACCAGACUUGGGCGCGGCGGAUCAUCCGGGGUUCUCUCCUGUGCACUUCGCCGCGUCUAGGCCAGCAUCAGUUCGUCGCGGGGGAAAAAGGUUUCGGUAACGUGGCUCCUCCGGGAGUGUUAUAGCCCGUUGCAUAAUACCCUGCGGUGGACUGAGGACCGCGCAUCUGCAUGGAUGCUGGCGUAAUGGUCACCAGCGACCCGUCUUGAAACACGG